AGGUGUUGCAUGGCUGUCGUCAGCUCGUGUCGUGAGAUGUUCGGUUAAGUCCGCUAACGAGCGCAACCCUCGCCGUAUGUUACAAGUGUCAUACGGAACUGCCGGUAAAAAGCCGGAGGAAGGUGAGGAUGAUGUCAAGUCAGCAUGACCUUUAUAUCCAGGGCUACACACACGCUACAAUGGUCUGUACAAUUGGUUGCCAAGCCGCGAGGCGGAGCCAAUCCGUAAAGCAGGCCUCAGUUCAGAUUGCAGUCUGCAACUCGACUGCAUGAAGUCGGAGUUGCUAGUAAACGCAGGUCAGCUAUACUGCGUUGAAUACGUUCCCGGGGCUU
RNAcentral lists this ribosomal RNA (332 nucleotides) under uncultured Anaerolineaceae bacterium. RNAcentral's name for it is "bacterial SSU rRNA". It matches the Rfam family "Bacterial small subunit ribosomal RNA", at positions 1036 to 1382 of the family's 1533-position model. Lineage: Bacteria; Bacillati; Chloroflexota; Anaerolineae; Anaerolineales; Anaerolineaceae. The record is from RNAcentral.